GGUCGGGUGGGCGAGUGGUUAGACAAGGGUAUGCAACACCUUUCACAGUAGUUCAAAUCCAUUCCCGACCUCCA
Molecule: transfer RNA, 74 nt
Filed under: Fluviicola sp. SGL-29
Lineage: Bacteria; Pseudomonadati; Bacteroidota; Flavobacteriia; Flavobacteriales; Crocinitomicaceae
Description: tRNA-Cys
Rfam family: tRNA
About the family: Transfer RNA (tRNA) molecules are approximately 80 nucleotides in length.
Source: RNAcentral